Molecule: long non-coding RNA, 346 nt
Organism: Humulus lupulus (European hop)
Lineage: Eukaryota; Viridiplantae; Streptophyta; Magnoliopsida; Rosales; Cannabaceae
Exons: 2
Source: RefSeq, a predicted model, not a curated record
CUCAUUUUGAUGAGGUUUUAUAUUUGGUUAUGACUAGGUGACCGCUAAUGGACUAGAAGUUGAUCGUUCUCAAGGGUCAUUCUUUUGAUCGUUCUAGCUCGACUUUGAGGUAAAGGCAAGAGGAAGCUGGACCAUCCUUGAGUUGGAGAGCUUAGGUGAUGACGUGUACAUAUGCAGCUGCUCGUCCGCCACGGCCGAGGUUUUAAAGUGGAACUAGGGUUGAACCCUGUUUUGCCGCUUAGAACGGCCUGUUGUAAAUAUUUUCUGUAAUAAACUCUGAAACUUUAUUUUCGGGAUCCCAAUGUAUAAAUUAAACGUUCUAGUGAAACGUUACAUCCUAACCAAA